RNAcentral lists this ribosomal RNA (497 nucleotides) under uncultured bacterium. RNAcentral describes it as "partial 16S ribosomal RNA". It matches the Rfam family "Bacterial small subunit ribosomal RNA", at positions 28 to 507 of the family's 1533-position model. The record is from RNAcentral.
GAUGAACGCUGGCGGCGUGCCUAAUACAUGCAAGUCGAGCGAACAGAUGAGGAGCUUGCUCCUCUGACGUUAGCGGCGGACGGGUGAGUAACACGUGGAUAACCUACCUAUAAGACUGGGAUAACUUCGGGAAACCGGAGCUAAUACCGGAUAAUAUAUUGAACCGCAUGGUUCAAUAGUGAAAGACGGUUUUGCUGUCACUUAUAGAUGGAUCCGCGCCGCAUUAGCUAGUUGGUAAGGUAACGGCUUACCAAGGCAACGAUGCGUAGCCGACCUGAGAGGGUGAUCGGCCACACUGGAACUGAGACACGGUCCAGACCCCUACGGGAGGCAGCAGUAGGGAAUCUUCCGCAACGGGCGAAAGCCUGACGGAGCAACGCCGCGUGAGUGAUGAAGGUCUUCGGAUCGUAAAACUCUGUUAUUAGGGAAGAACAAAUGUGUAAGUAACUAUGCACGUCUUGACGGUACCUAAUCAGAAAGCCACGGCUAACUACGUG